RNAcentral lists this long non-coding RNA (4881 nucleotides) under Nicotiana tabacum (common tobacco). Its description in RNAcentral is "long non-coding RNA (NTAB_LNC015715)". Lineage: Eukaryota; Viridiplantae; Streptophyta; Magnoliopsida; Solanales; Solanaceae. The record is from RNAcentral.
GGAUCACUAAGAUCCAAUGACCGUCCUUUUUUCUCAUAAUAAAACUUUUAUUACUUUUAUACUCUGAAAUAUCAGGGUCGUUGAUAAAACGAGCUAACAGCCCAGAUUCAUUCAUGCAUCUUAAACCAACCAAACACCCCAAAACCCUCAUUCAUUCCCAACCCUACACGGCCGCCUCUCUCUCCCAAAUCUCUGUCUUUUUUCUCAUCCCAACUGACCCCGUCAGCCACAAAUCCUAGCACAAAUUUAUGCAAGGUCACAAAUUCAAACUCCAAAUCAUUCAAUUUUUUCCCUACAUCCGCGAAUCAUGCAGAUACUUCUGUUUUCAUCACUAAAAUUCAAAAGCCCUAAUUUGAACCCUAGACUUAAAUUGUGCUAUUGAGAACCGUUUGUUAUCCCACCGCUCUUUUAAUUCUAUGGCAUGCAUUACCAUGUAUUUGACUUCAAUAUCAUUAUUCUUUGUCCAGAGGUGAAACGCAGUGACGUAUGGACAUUGGGCUUUUUUUAUGGGUCUUCGCGUUCAACGACCAUCUCUUCAUGCCCAGGUAAAUCCAUGUUACUUUUCCCCUCCGUUCUUCACCAAUUUCACCUCUAUUGCUAUAAUCAUCUAUGCCAUCAUGAAUUUCUAUUAUCGAUUUGAAAUCUAACCAGAACCUUAAGGUUUUAUCGGCACUAUAAAAGGGGCAUUCAGUGUCCUCACCAAAUAGACAUCUAAUACGAUCAGAAACACAAAAGGAAAGAACGAAAAGGAUUAAAAUUUGAGGUUUUCUCGCUUGUCCAGUAAUGCUCUUUGAUUUUAUCCAUUUUCUUUCUCUUUCAUUAUCCAGCGUGAGUUCAACUACUGUUGGUCUUGAGUUUGGAUCCAUAAACGGUUGUUGGAUGUUCCCUACUUGGUUUGCUUCUCCAUAGAAGGUCAGUACAUACUGACCCCCCCUCCCCCCCUUUACAUUGGAAUAAUCGUUUGGUUCUGUAUUUUCCUAUUUUAUUCUCUAAUUGUUUGUGCUAGAUAUUAAAAUUGUGUUUAUCAUGACUUGUCUUUCUAUGAUGUUCUCACUGUUAAGUUAGGGAUUUCUUCAUCUAGUUAUGUUGUAUUGUUAUCAAGCCAUGCUGUCAAAUUCUAUUCUUAUCAUCUGAUUAAUAAAAAUGCUUCUAUGCCGAGUAAUGUUCUUAUGGCCAGGCCUCUAUGAUUAGUUAAGGUAAUCUCUAUGUUGAGUUUGUGUAUAGAUAUCCUCUGUUAGUAAAGUAACAAUCAUAUAUUCUUUAUCAUGUUAGCUGAACGAGUUGAAUCAUGUUCUUGAACAUUUCUUUGUGUUUCUGUACCUCCAUAUCAACUUGAUCCUUCUACUUGUGAUAUUGUACUGUUCCUACAAAUGUUUUCCCUGAAGCCUAUGUUUUUGACAUGAUAACUACCUGAUAAUUUUGUAGUUAAUAACUUGCGCAUUCUGCAUAUUCAAUGGUCCAUAUAUGGCUAUUAUUCUUAGACCCUGUUAAAGCUUCAUUGAUCUAGAUCCUAUAUUGAUGAUGUUAUAUGUAUUCUUUUCUGCUAACCAAGUAGUUGAGAUAAAAUUAGGUUGCUAAAAAUUUUCUUGAGAACAUUGUUAAUACUUGCCAACACUAAGCCAUUUGAUACUUGUAAUAUUCUGCUGUUUUGAUUAAGUUCUUACCUUUCAUGCUAUCUUGUUAGACUCUAAAAAGAAGCAUGCUCAUGUCAUUAUAGUAGAAUGAUCUCUAUGUGCCCUCUGUGAUAACUUGAAACCAUGCAAUGAACCUUGUUAAUGUAUUAGGAAAAUUGCAUUCAUGACUGAACAUAGUUUGAUUAGGAUAAAACUCUAUAGUGAGUACUGACACUUUCCAUCUGGUGACUGUUUGAGCUCUGUGAGACUUCUGUUGUUAUGUUAUAAACCUUUUACAUCUGAGUCCACACCUGCCAUUAUUAAUUUGGUUAAGUUCACAGAAAAACACAUAAUUUUAGUUUAAAGUUUGUAUGCUUGCAAUUAUGUGUCACAAUUCUGACCUUACUGUGGUGAUACACUGUUUUGAGUUUAUGAAUAUUGUUUGUCAAAAGGCUUGUCUCUGAUGCUUAGAAUGAUCUCUUCUUAUGACUCCAACUAUUAGGCUUAGCCAUGACUUCUCACAAUCCUGAUUCCUACAUGUUUUUCAUGUUAACCUGUAUACAAACCAUGUGUUGAGAUUUGUUGAGAUACUAUACUAGUUUACAUGCUCAACUGUUAGCCCAAUAUGUCAUGUCUGUCUUGAUAAGUUAAAGUGAAUGUCACUCACCAGUUAGGCUUGGUCUUAACUAUACUGAAGCCUUAUCUUUUAAGUGCUCGUGCACUGUUCUUUUACCCUUAACCUAUAUAAAAGAACUUUGAGCAUCAAACCUCUAGUGUCACUCACCAGUUAGGACCGGUUACCGGUUUCAAAAUAUCGGUUUUAUCGGUUCCGUGCAUGGCCGGUGAAAAUUUGAACGGAACGGUUCCGGGCCUAAGGGGCCGGACCGGACCAUUUUUUUUUUGUAUUUUAAUUUUUGUAUAACUAUCAUAAUUUAUAUUACGAUAAAUUAAAAAUAUAAAAUAUAAAAAUAAUCUUAUAAAAAGAGUGUUAGAAUAAAUUUUAAUGGCUUUAAAAGCCUUAUAUUUCAAUAUUUCAUUAAAAAUUUAAGAUAAUACAUUAAAGACGGAAAAGAAUUUAACUUAUAAUUUGCAAAUUCUUUUUUUAAUUCAAACUUGCAAAUUAAAGUUUACAUUUUACAAUAACUAAAUUAAAGAAAAAAUAGUAAAUUCAAAUUUGAAUUAUUAAAUAUUAAUCAAGAAUUUCAAAGGUUUUGCAUUGCCUUAGUAAGUUCUUCAUAAUCAAUAUAAACUUCUUGGCCAUCUUCUGUAAUGUUAAAUUCAGAUGGAUUACCAUGUGUUAAUAUAUCUCCAUGUUCCUCGUCUUCUGGUCUAUCAACAUCUUCUCGCCCCUGAUUUCUUCGUUCCGAUCUAAUCCAAUCUCUGAAACAAAUAAAUACUUCCAAAGUAUUGCUUCCCAAUGAAUGGCGGGUGUGAUCUAGUUGUUGUCUGGAUUGACUAAAUGCACUCUCUGAUACAACAGUUGAAAUUGGCACAUUUAGCACGUCCCGAGCCAUAGCGGAAAGAACAGAAAAUUGCUUUUCAUUCUCAUGCCACAAUCCCAACGGUGAAAAUUCCUUUGUGCGAAGCUCUGUUUGCUUUUGCAAGUAGAAUUAAAGUUCAUCAAUGUUCCUCCUACUGGUUUGAGUGAAAGUAAAUGUAGACCAAAUAUUAUAACCAUCAAGGCCUUCAUCUUCAUCCAUAGUAGCAGAUGCAGUGCAAGUAGUACAAUGCAUAGUGGGAUUAACAUUACCUGCAUUAAUAGCAGCAUCAUCAAUUAUAUUUGCAUAAUAAUUAUAUAAUUAUUAUAAAUAAUUAUUUAGCUUGUUCAUACAACAAUAUAUAUCUAGGGUUUCAGUUGGUCCAAUCUUCAUAUAAGCAUAUAAAGCAUUGAUUAAUUUGUGACAAUUAGACAUCUUAAUAGAAUGAUUUAAAACAACACCAAUUAAGUAAAUAGGAGGAAUUGGAAAGAAAUAUUUUUUAAAUUUGCUUGCAUUUUUUCAACAGCAUCCUUAUAUUUUUUUUUCUUCUUAAAUUCAGAGAGUAGAAAUGAAAUUUCAGCUAUAUGUACUAAAACCAUAGUAACAGUAGAGUAAUAUGCUCCAGAAAACUCAACAGUAGCUGUAUAAAAUUUAUGUAAAAAUAUAACAACAUCAUUAAUGGCCUCCCAAGUAUUAGUUGUUAACAUACGGUUUGGAUCGGUACAAUGCGCAUUAGCAACUUCAGUUAUCGGCAAUCUAUAUUUGUAGCAACAUUUUUAAAAAUAAGUAUGUAUAAUUCCUAGUAACAAUUUCAUCUAGCAUGAAUCUAGGGUUAAGGUUAUGUUUGGUACACUUAGUCUUAAAUUCCCUAAUUCUAGAUUGUCUAUUAUUUUCUUGAAUAACACCAACUUCUCUUCUAACAUGAGUACCCCCAGUGAGCGCGGUCGACUUAUAGCGCUUGGGCUGAAGAAGCCCCUCCGAAGUCUGUACACACCCCCAAUGAGCGUAGAUGAUUAUAUAUAUUCAGGAUGGACUUCCCAGGACAUGGACUUGCCUUACUUACGAUGAUUAUAUAUAUAUUCGGGAUGGAUUUUCCCAGGGCAUAGACUUGCCUUACUUAUUUAUAUUGUAAUGAAUUUAAUUGGACAUGGAUCUUGUCCAUCUCAUUUGCAUUUGGGGAUAAAUUACCCCAGGGCCGGAUUGGCCUUAUACGGUACUGGGUGACUGACUGUCAGUCGAUGUGUAUAUAUAUACGGGUUGGAACACCUCUGGGCUGGAUUGGCCAUAAACUGUACCGAGUGACCGAAUAAUUUGUGACCAGUAUUUACAUGAGGUCUUUUUUUUUUACUGAGAUGUCAUAUUCUUCAUAUCAUGCAGUAUUGAUCUAUUUCACUUGUACUGAGUUUAACUGUUAAAUUUGAAAGUAUGUCUACGUUUUGUACCAUUAUUUAUACUGGACUGUACUUGCGGAGCUCGUCAUUGCUUUCAGCCCAGAGGUUAGUCUUGUUACUUAUUGAGUUAGUUGUACUCAUACUACACUCUGCACUUCGUGUGCAGAUCUAGGUGCUCCCGGAUAUGAAGACUGUUAGAAUUCGAGGUUCUUUCCGUUGGAAACUAUCAAGGUAGCUGCUUGAAGACCGCAUACUUGAUUCCCUUCAUGUUUAAUUAUUGUACUGUUCUAUAUUUCAGACAGUGAUUUUUUCCAGUCAGACUUUGUAUUCAUUUAGAUGCUCAUGUACUCAGUGACACCGGGUUUAAGAGUGUUUAUAUAUGUAUUUGUGAAUUNNNNN